This 418-nucleotide ribosomal RNA is filed under the name uncultured anaerobic ammonium-oxidizing bacterium. RNAcentral's name for it is "bacterial SSU rRNA". It matches the Rfam family "Bacterial small subunit ribosomal RNA", at positions 383 to 810 of the family's 1533-position model. The record is from RNAcentral.
GUGAACGAGCGACGCCGCGUGCAGGAUGAAGGCCUUCGGGUUGUAAACUCCUGUCGAGGGGGAGGAAGGGGAAACCUUGACCGAUCCCUGGAGGAAGCACGGGCUAAGUUCGUGCCAGCAGCCGCGGUAAGACGAACCGUGCGAACGUUAUUCGGAAUCACUGGGCUUAAAGCGCGUGUAGGCGGAUGGGAACGUCGGAUACUGAAAGCCCCCGGCUCAACCGGGGAAGUGGUUCCGAAACGACCUGUCUGGAGGGACGUAGGGGGAUCUGGAACUUCCGGUGGAGCGGUGAAAUGCGUUGAGAUCGGAAGGAACGCCCGUGGCGAAAGCGAGGUCCUGGACGUCUGCUGACGCUGAGACGCGAAAGCUAGGGGAGCAAACGGGAUUAGAUACCCCGGUAGUCCUAGCCGUAAACGAU